UUGGAGGGCAAGUCUGGUGCCAGCAGCCGCGGUAAUUCCAGCUCCAAUAGCGUAUAUUAAAGUUGUUGCAGUUAAAAAGCUCGUAGUUGAAUUUCGGGGUUCUACCGUUGGUCGGGCUUUGUCUGUACUGGUGUGUAGAAUUUCUACCUUCUGGGGAACCAUCAUGCUAUUAAUUUAGCGUGGUGGGAAACCAGGACCUUUACCUUGAAAAAAUUAGUGUGUUCAAAGCAGGCUUAUGUCUGAAUACAUUAGCGUGGAAUAAUAGAAUAGGACGGUGGUCCUGUUUUGUUGGUUUCUGAAUCACCGUAAUGAUUAAUAGGGAUAGUUGGGGGCAUUAGUAUUCAAUUGUCAGAGGUGAAAUUCUUGGAUUUAUUGAAGACUAACUUCUGCGAAAGCAUUUGCCAAGGAUGUUUUCAUUAAUCAAGAACGAAAGUUAGGGGAUCGAAGACGAUCAGACACCGUCGUAGUCUUAACCAUAAACUAUGCCGACUAGGGAUCGGACGAUGUUAAUUUUUCUUGACUCGUUCGGCGCCUUACGGGAAAC
Molecule: ribosomal RNA, 544 nt
Filed under: uncultured Glomeromycotina
Lineage: Eukaryota; Fungi; Glomeromycota
Description: SSU rRNA
Rfam family: Eukaryotic small subunit ribosomal RNA
Source: RNAcentral